UGUCUAGUUGUCAGCAGUAUGUACUCAUCUGACAAACAAUCAGACCUAAGAAUAAAUAAUACCCUGGUAAUUGGAAAGUGUGUUUCUGUGUGAUAUCCCUCCCUCCCUCUUUCUCCCUCCAACUCACUCUCCCUCUCUCUCUCCGUCUCUCUCCCUCUCUCUCCCUCUCUCUCCCUCUAACUCUCUCUCUGUCUCUCUCCAGAACAUCUGGCUUUCCUCUUUAGUAAUGACACAACAGCAUGCUGCUCAUAUAACACACACACAUACACACAUGCGCACAAACACACACACACACACACACACGCACACAUGCGCACACACAUGCGCACGCGCACAUGCGCACAAACACACACACACACACCCACAGAGAGAGAUGUUUUACAGCUGUAACCAUAAACAGAGGUGCCUGCGGUGGUACAGAGUUAGAGACUGCCCCGGUGACUACAUUAACACACAAUUUACUUGUCAGAGCAACAGUUUGUGUGUGUGUGUGUGUGUGUGUCUGUGUGUGAGGCUGCCCACCAAUGCCAGGAAGCAUUUCCGCCACUCAUCCGAGCAUGCAGGCCAAUGCAGAAAGAUCAAAGAGUGUAUGAGUGCGUGUUUGUGUCUGCAUAAGAGUGACUGACUGUGUGUGUGUGUGUGUGUGUGUGUCGGCUGGAUGCCAUCAGAAACAAUUAAGAGAGAAAAGACGGACAGAAAAGAAAGAUGGACAUAAAAAAACAAGAGGAGACAAAGACAGUAGACAGAGAGAAUGGGGAAAGAGAAAGAAAAACUGAUUCAGACAGAAGAUAAGAGAGAGAGGUAGGAAUGAGAGAGUGUGAGGGAUGGAGAGAGAAAUGAAGAGAAGAUGGAGAGAGAUAGAGGGGGAGAGGGGAGAGAGAGAGAGAAAGAGAGAGAGAGAGAGGGAGAGCGAGAGAGAGAGAGAAAGAGAAAGAGAGAGAGAUUGAAGGCAUAAUAUCAUGUUUACAGUACAUUCCAACAGGGUCGUUUCUAUAGGGAACAUGACAGAACAGAGACCCAUUCGACAUAUACCGGCCUACUGUGUGUAUAUGUGUGUGUGGAGAUGGAACUUGCUUUAAAAGUAAGUAACCUUUUCAUUUCUAUAGGGAACAUGACAGAACAAAGACACAUUUUACAAAUGCCAGGGUGUGUGUGUGUGUGUGGUGAAUAUCAUGUGGUGGGUAAACAGCUUAAUAGAUGAAGAGUAAAAGCAGCAACAAAGAACACUAGAAACAUUCACUCCCUUUAUCUAAUACAGUGUGGUACAUUGAUUACACCUCCUAAUGUCUAAAUAUCUCCUACUUCAGUUAAAUAUUCAUAGGAAGUGCUACAGGGUGUGCAGACUUUCAUUCCAACCCAUCAUCAAAGUGUAUUCCAGAAAGAGAAAAGUGUCCUAUCUCCAGACUUGGUAACCAGCCUUGGUAAUGAAAGCUCUGAUGUCGAACUGCAUUCGUUUUUCAUGAUAAAAAAGCAUUUUCUAGUCAUCUUCCACUACGCUGAAUGACAUGGGCGCCGGUCAGCACUGGUUACCAGCCCUGGCAGAUGACGUACGCUCCGGUGGUUGGGUCAAGCCACUCAGUAAAGCAGGAGCCACAGUUCCGCAAACGACACUCAGCCAUCGGGUUACCAAGACAACGUGCUUCACGGCAGAGGUCAGGGCAGGUCAUGGGGGCAGAGCCAAGAGGACAACCAGAAAACCAGUGUAGUUCAAAACAAAACCUACAACACACACACAAACCAAUGAGAAGAUACAAUAACAACUUCUACUCUAAAGCGAUAUAUUCACGACUCACUGGCUACUGUUUACACCCCCUCUCUAAUUGACCGAUGGUUACCUGCUGUCUGGGGUGAUUGGCAGCCAAAUGCCCCGUCCCCUCUGUGACAUCACCUUGUGGGUGUAGUAGUCAUCAGAAUGCUUUUGUCCUGCCCACUCCCGCUCCAGCUGACCAAUCAGGGCUUGGCUCUCCUCUUGAUCCAGAGCCAUCCAAUCCUGCAAAGGCCAGUGCUGAGGCAAGGCUGUAAUUGGAGAGCAGGUUCUUGUAAUGUGGUUAAGAGUGUGUUGAUUGGUUGAAAUUAGCUGCUGUUGGGUGUGGUAGUAGAACCGUAGGUAGUGCGGUCCGUUGUAGAACCAGUUACAGCUGUCCUUAUCGUAUCCGUCUGGUCGAAAUCCAAAUGCAUCAAAACCACCCCGGUCCAAACCAAAGGGGUCGAAACCAUAAACACUGUAGCCACUGUCGCUAAAGAGCUCUGACAUAACCUUCUCUCUUUCUCUCUCCUCCUCCUCUCUACUCUCCUCUCUCACCUCACUCUCCUUCUCUUUCUCCCCCUGAGUCUCCACUUCUCUCUCCUCCUCCCUCAUAAACAAUCCAUCCCAGCGCAUCCCAAACCAUGUAACAUUGUGGCGGUUAAACCCAUAGCGGUUGUAUCCAGAAAUGUCAUAGCCCUCUCUGUCGAUGUGGUCACGGUCCAAACCAUCCUUACUGUAACCAAGCAGGUCCCAGCCCAUGCGGUUGAAACCUUGUCUGUCAUAUCCAUUGCGAUUGUAACCACUGUGGUCAAAGCCAUCAUAGCCUUGUGCAUUGUAAUCAUAGGUGCUGUGUUUAUGGUUGUUUUGUGUAUCUUGUCUCUUUCUGUGAUAGCUGGCAGUGUCUUUCGCUCCUCUGUGGCGGCCCUUCCCUCUUUCGGCAAGGAGUGAUGAUGUCACAUUGCAGGGAGCUCCGAGGGUUAUGGGUACAUAUACCACACACAGUUGUUCCCGUGAAGACAUCACAUCAUCAGGAGCAAUGCCGAACGGCUUCAUCUUGAUGAGACGCUGCCUCACCGGGUACUUGGUGUGUAGGCUGCCAGACAGCUGAGGUCAAAAGAUCACCAGAGUCGACCGUCCACUCGAAGUACGGAACACCCAGUUGGCAUGACGACACAGCCUGGAGCUCCUGCUCCACCACCCGCAGGAAGUAGCGCUGCCAGGGCAGGAAGUAGGUAUGGCCACCAGCCUGAGGGGAGAACUCAGCUCUCAGCUUGGUGAAACCAUCCCAUACACCUACACAAAAUCCAACAUGAAAACAAGACUGAUCCAAGGUAAAAUAGAGAACAAAUGUCAGUUAGCUAUACACUUGGGUAGUAAAGCGUUAGCUGUACAUGAGUACCUGGCUAGUAGAGUUAGCUGUAAAAGUGUAUCUAGCUAGUAGAGUAAGCUGUACAGAGUACCUAGCUAGUAGAGUUAGCUGUACAAGUGUACCUAGCUAGUAGAGUUAGCUAUACAUGUGUAUCUAGCUACUAGAGUAAGCUGUACAGGUGUACCUGGUUCUUAGAGUUAGCAUUAGCUGUAAAGGUAUACCAGGCUAGUAGGGAGUUAGCUAUACAUGUGUACAAGGCUAGUAGGGAGUUUGCUAUACAGAUGUGCCUAGCUAGCUAGGGAGUUAGCUAUACAGGUGUACCAGGGUUUCCGUUAGGUACACCUAUAGAGGUGUACCUAGCUAGUAGGGAGUUAGCUAUACAGGUGUACCUAGCUAGUAGGGAGUUAGCUAUACAGGUGUAUCUAGCUAGCUAGGGAGUUAGCUAUACAGGUGUAUCUAGCUAGCUAGGGAGUUAGCUGUACAGGUGUAUCUAGCUAGCUAGGGAGUUAGCUGUACAGGUGUAUCUAGCUAGCUAGGGAGUUAGCUGUACAGGUGUAUCUAGCUAGCUAGGGAGUUAGCUGUACAGGUAUCCAGGGUUUCCGUUAGGAAGAUGUGGCGCCAGACAUUUGACCAUCAGUCUUUUAAUUUAACGGACAUUUGAUACAUUAACCUGAUUAGGGCGUCCACCCACGAUGCUUAGAAUGACAAAAAUCACAUUUAUGUUUAUUCAUAUAUUUAUUUAUUCAUUAUUCAACAGAAUAUGCAACUAGAAGAUGGAACGGCGGUGUCCGAAUUCGCGUGCGCACUUUCAAGAUGUUAGAAUAACUGCCACAUUUACUUUUCCUCAGCCAACAAGAUGGGUAACGAACAGCAAAAUCACUAGCCUAUGUCAAUCUAAUAUCCCCCAUAGGAGAAAAGUUGACCUAUUCUAUUGGUCAGCUUGUUGUUCUGUGUAAGAAAAAAUAGCCUAUUCCAAACAGACUCUGGGACAGUUGUGGGACGAUAGAUCCCAAAAUUAUGCAACCAGUAGGCCUAGGCUACAUGAAAAGAAAACUUGAAAAAGCAAUGAG
Molecule: long non-coding RNA, 4186 nt
Organism: Oncorhynchus tshawytscha (Chinook salmon)
Lineage: Eukaryota; Metazoa; Chordata; Actinopteri; Salmoniformes; Salmonidae
Source: Ensembl